This 492-nucleotide ribosomal RNA is filed under the name uncultured bacterium. RNAcentral's name for it is "partial 16S ribosomal RNA". It matches the Rfam family "Bacterial small subunit ribosomal RNA", at positions 29 to 507 of the family's 1533-position model. The record is from RNAcentral.
AGUGAACGCUGGCGGUAGGCCUAACACAUGCAAGUCGAACGGCAGCACAGUAAGAGCUUGCUCUUACGGGUGGCGAGUGGCGGACGGGUGAGGAAUACAUCGGAAUCUACUUUUUCGUGGGGGAUAACGUAGGGAAACUUACGCUAAUACCGCAUACGACCUACGGGUGAAAGCAGGGGAUCUUCGGACCUUGCGCGAUUGAAUGAGCCGAUGUCGGAUUAGCUAGUUGGCGGGGUAAAGGCCCACCAAGGCGACGAUCCGUAGCCGGUCUGAGAGGAUGGUCGGCCACACGGGAACGGGACCACGGACCAGACUCCUACGGGACGCAGCAGUGGGGAAUAUUGGGCAAUGGGCGCAAGCCUGAUCCAGCCAUACCGCGUGGGUGAAGAAGGCCUUCGGGUUGUAAAGCCCUUUUGUUGGGAAAGAAAAGCAGCAGGUUAAUACCCCGCUGUUCUGACGGUACCCAAAGAAUAAGCACCGGCUAACUUCGUG